AUUGAACGCUGGCGGCAGGCUUAACACAUGCAAGUCGAACGAGUGGCGGACGGGUGAGUAAUGUCUGGGAAACUGCCCGAUGGAGGGGGAUAACUACUGGAAACGGUAGCUAAUACCGCAUACCAUCGGAUGUGCCCAGAUGGGAUUAGCUAGUAGGUGGGGUAAAGGCUCACCUAGGCGACGAUCCCUAGCUGGUCUGAGAGGAUGACCAUCCACACUGGAACUGAGACACGGCCCAGACUCCUACGGGAGGCAGCAGUGGGGAAUAUUGCACAAUGGGGGCAAGCCUGAUGCAGCCAGCCCGCGGGUAUGAUGAAGGCCUUCGGGUUGUAAAGUACUUUCAGCGAGGAGGCGGUACUCGCAGAAUAAGCACCGGCUAACUCCGUGCCAGCAGCCGCGGUAAUAC
This 406-nucleotide ribosomal RNA is filed under the name uncultured bacterium. RNAcentral describes it as "partial 16S ribosomal RNA". It matches the Rfam family "Bacterial small subunit ribosomal RNA", at positions 30 to 526 of the family's 1533-position model. The record is from RNAcentral.